Molecule: unclassified non-coding RNA, 405 nt
Filed under: soil metagenome
Description: partial contains 5.8S ribosomal RNA, internal transcribed spacer 2, and large subunit ribosomal RNA
Rfam family: 5.8S ribosomal RNA (bases 1-121)
Source: RNAcentral
GAUGAAGAACGUAGCGAAAUGCGAUAAGUAAUGUGAAUUGCAGAAUUCAGUGAAUCAUCGAAUCUUUGAACGCACCUUGCGCCCUUUGGCCAUUCCGAAGGGCAUGCCUGUUUGAGUAUCAUGAACACCUCAACUCUUUAUGGUUUUCCAUGAUGAACUUGGACUCUGGGGGUUUUGCUGGCUCACAGUCGGCUCCUCUAAAAUGAAUCAGCUUACCAGUGUUUGGUGGGUAUCAUGGGUGUGAUAACUAUCUACGCUUGUGGUUUUUCCACCAGGUAACCUUCAGCAGUGGAGGUUCGCUGGAGCUCAUAGAUGUCUCUCCUCAGUGAGGACAGCCCUUUGAAUGUUUGAUCUCAAAUCAGGUAGGACUACCCGCUGAACUUAAGCAUAUCAAUAAGCGGAGGA